GUGCUCGCUUCGGCAGCACAUAUACUAAAAUUGGAACAAUACCGAGAAGAUUAGCAUGGCACCUGUGUAAGGAUGACACGCAAAUUCGUGAAAUGUUAUGUAUUUUU
Molecule: small nuclear RNA, 107 nt
Filed under: Tupaia belangeri chinensis (Chinese tree shrew)
Lineage: Eukaryota; Metazoa; Chordata; Mammalia; Scandentia; Tupaiidae
Source: RNAcentral